GGGCGAAGCCUGACGCAGCACGCCGCGUGAGGGACGAAGGCUUUCUGAGUUGUAAACCUCUUUCGACAGGAACGAUUGUGACGGUACCCGUAGAAGAAGCACCGGCCAACUAUGUGCCAGCAGCCGCGGUGAUACAUAGGGUGCAAGCGUUAUUCGGAUUUAUUGGGCGUAAAGAGCUCGUAGGCGGUUCAACAAGUCGGGUGUUAAACCCCCAGGCUCAACCUGGGGCCGCCACCCGAAACUGUUGUGACUAGAGUUUGGUAGGGGAUCACGGAAUUCCUGGUGUAGCGGUGGAAUGCGCAGAUAUCAGGAGGAACACCAGUAGCGAAGGCGGUGAUCUGGGCCAAUACUGACGCUGAGGAGCGAAAGCGUGGGGAGCGAACAGGAUUAGAUACCCUGGUAGUCCACGCCGUAAACGGUGGGCACUAGGUGUGGGGACUUUUCAACGGUUUCCGCGCCGCAGCUAACGCAUUAAGUGCCCCGCCUGGGGAGUACGGUCGCAAGACUAAAACUCAAAGGAAUUGACGGGG
RNAcentral lists this ribosomal RNA (530 nucleotides) under uncultured bacterium. RNAcentral describes it as "bacterial SSU rRNA". It matches the Rfam family "Bacterial small subunit ribosomal RNA", at positions 373 to 918 of the family's 1533-position model. The record is from RNAcentral.